UAAGGAAUAUUGGACAAUGCCCGCAAGGGUGAUCCAGCCAUCCCGCGUGCAGGAAGACUGCCCUAUGGGUUGUAAACUGCUUUUAUCAGGGAAGAAACCCCUUGACUUGUUGAGGGUUGACGGUACCUGAUGAAUAAGCACCGGCUAACUCCGUGCCAGCAGCCGCGGUAAUACGGAGGGUGCAAGCGUUAUCCGGAAUCACUGGGUUUAAAGGGUGCGUAGGCGGCUAUAUAAGUCAGAGGUGAAAGGCUACGGCUUAACUGUGGGAUUGCCUUUGAUACUGUAUAGCUGGAAUCAGGUUGAAGUUAGUGGAAUGCGGCAUGUAGCGGUGAAAUGCAUAGAUAUGUCGUAGAACACCGAUUGCGAAGGCAGCUAACUGGGCUUGAAUUGACGCUGAGGCACGAAAGCGUGGGGAUCGAACAGG
This 424-nucleotide ribosomal RNA is filed under the name uncultured Saprospiraceae bacterium. RNAcentral describes it as "bacterial SSU rRNA". It matches the Rfam family "Bacterial small subunit ribosomal RNA", at positions 355 to 776 of the family's 1533-position model. Lineage: Bacteria; Pseudomonadati; Bacteroidota; Saprospiria; Saprospirales; Saprospiraceae. The record is from RNAcentral.